RNAcentral lists this ribosomal RNA (600 nucleotides) under uncultured bacterium. Its description in RNAcentral is "partial 16S ribosomal RNA". The stretch from base 1 to 224 matches the Rfam family "Bacterial small subunit ribosomal RNA", at positions 189 to 399 of the family's 1533-position model. The record is from RNAcentral.
AAUGUCUACGGACCAAAGCGGGGGACCUUCGGGCCUCGCGCCAUCAGAUGAACCCAUAUGGGAUUAGCUUGUAGGUGAGGUAACGGUCACCUAGGCGAGAUCCCUAGCUGGUCUGAGAGGAUGAUCAGGCCACACUGGGACUGAGACACGGCCAGACUCCUACGGGAGGCAGCAGUGGGGCAAUAUUCGCACAAUUGGGCGCAAGCCCUGAUGCAGCCAUGCCGGUGUACUCGAACGAAGGCCUUCGGGUUGAACAGGUUGGCUUUCCCAAGUCCGGGGGAAGCGAACGGGUCGGCGUCAAAGCGGCUCAAACUACAACCCCUCUUCACUCCANAUUCCGGAACGNUCACACCGGAACCACGAACAGAACGCCACCCCGGNNCCUCAAAACCUCCACGNUGGCCCAAGCAAGCCCCGCGCGGGCUCUAACUACCGGGCAGGCAUGCACAAGCCGCCUCACACAAAUCNCGCGUCAACUNCACGCUGGGGGCGGNCACGGCUUCAACAAAGGCCGGACCCAANGGCACAAGGGCCCGAGCGAACAGGCAACCAGAGGGACAGCUCCCCAACAGCAAAUUAGGUCCGGCAGAAAAGCAUCCA